GAUGAACGCUAGCUGCAGGCUUAACACAUGCAAGUCGAGGGGAAACGACAUCGAAAGCUUGCUUUUGAUGGGCGUCGACCGGCGCACGGGUGAGUAACGCGUAUCCAACCUGCCCAUCACUUGGGAAUAACCUUGCGAAAGUAAGACUAAUACCCAAUGAUAUCCCACGAAGGCAUCGGAAUGGGAUUAAAGAUUUAUCGGUGAUGGAUGGGGAUGCGUCUGAUUAGCUUGUUGGCGGGGUAACGGCCCACCAAGGCAACGAUCAGUAGGGGUUCUGAGAGGAAGGUCCCCCACAUUGGAACUGAGACACGGUCCAAACUGCUACGGGAGGCAGCAGUGAGGAAUAUUGGUCAAUGGGCGAGAGCCUGAACCAGCCAAGUAGCGUGCAGGAAGACGGCCCUAUGGGUUGUAAACUGCUUUUAUAAGGGAAUAAAGUGGGUCACGUGUGACUUUUUGCAUGUACCUUAUGAAUAAGGACCGGCUAAUUCCGUG
Molecule: ribosomal RNA, 492 nt
Filed under: uncultured bacterium
Lineage: Bacteria
Description: partial 16S ribosomal RNA
Rfam family: Bacterial small subunit ribosomal RNA
Source: RNAcentral